This 164-nucleotide small RNA is filed under the name Chrysemys picta bellii (western painted turtle). RNAcentral describes it as "TUC338 (ENSCPBG00000021183.1)". The record is from RNAcentral. Lineage: Eukaryota; Metazoa; Chordata; Testudines; Emydidae.
GUGACAUCCUGGAGAAUGAAGUCCUCUAUUUAAUUAUAGAACAGAUGCAGCAUGGCAGUGGAAGUUCAAGCCUCCUCUCACUGCCCUGCCAGAGAAGUCUGUUCCAGAGUAGCCACCUUCUGGGGAACAAAGUCAAUCUCCAAGCCCUUCAUUCCUCGACUGCU